This 500-nucleotide ribosomal RNA is filed under the name uncultured cyanobacterium. RNAcentral's name for it is "bacterial SSU rRNA". It matches the Rfam family "Bacterial small subunit ribosomal RNA", at positions 356 to 869 of the family's 1533-position model. The record is from RNAcentral. Lineage: Bacteria; Bacillati; Cyanobacteriota.
GGGUAAUCUUCCGCAAUGGGCGAAAGCCUGACGGAGCAAUACCGCGUGAGGGAAGAAGGCUCUUGGGUUGUAAACCUCUUUUCUUAGGGAAGAAAAAAAUGACGGUACCUAAGGAAUAAGCAUCGGCUAACUCCGUGCCAGCAGCCGCGGUAAUACGGAGGAUGCAAGCGUUAUCCGGAAUGAUUGGGCGUAAAGCGUCCGCAGGUGGCAAGUCAAGUUUGCGGUUAAAGGUUCUGGCUCAACCAGGGACAGGCCGUGAAAACUGACUAGCUAGAGUAUAGUAGGGGCAGAGGGAAUUCCCAGUGUAGCGGUGAAAUGCGUAGAGAUUGGGAAGAACACCGGUGGCGAAAGCGCUCUGCUAGGCCAAAACUGACACUGAGGGACGAAAGCUAGGGGAGCGAAUGGGAUUAGAUACCCCAGUAGUCCUAGCCGUAAACGAUGGAUACUAGGUGUAGCUUGUAUCGACCCAAGCUGUGCCGUAGCUAACGCGUUAAGUAUCC